UGGGGAAUAUUGCGCAAUGGGCGAAAGCCUGACGCAGCGACGCCGCGUGGGCGAUGAAGGCCUUCGGGUCGUAAAGCCCUGUCGGGUGGAACGAACGCCAGGUUGGCUAAUAUCCGACCUGGCCGACGGUACCACCGAAGGAAGCCCCGGCUAACUACGUGCCAGCAGCCGCGGUAAUACGUAGGGGGCAAGCGUUGUUCGGAUUUACUGGGCGUAAAGCGCGCGUAGGCGGCUUCGCAAGUCCGAUGUGAAAUCCCCGGGCUCAACCCGGGAUCCGCGUCGGAAACUGCGAGACUUGAGUGCAGGAGAGGAGAGCGGAAUUCCCAGUGUAGCGGUGAAAUGCGUAGAUACUGGGAGGAACACCGGUGGCGAAGGCGGCUCUCUGGACUGCUACUGACGCUGAGGCGCGAAAGCUAGGGGAGCAAACGGGAUUAGAUACCCCGGUAGUCCUAGCCGUAAACGUUGGGCACUAGGUGUGGGAGGUAUCGACCCCUUCCGUGCCGCAGCUAACGCAUUAAGUGCCCCGCCUGGGGAGUACGGCCGCAAGGUUGA
This 552-nucleotide ribosomal RNA is filed under the name uncultured Clostridia bacterium. RNAcentral describes it as "bacterial SSU rRNA". It matches the Rfam family "Bacterial small subunit ribosomal RNA", at positions 355 to 897 of the family's 1533-position model. The record is from RNAcentral. Lineage: Bacteria; Bacillati; Bacillota; Clostridia.